UAACACUUGGAAACAGGUGCUAAUACCGUAUAACAACAAAAUCCGCAUGGAUUUUGUUUGAAAGGUGGCUUCGGCUAUCACUUCUGGAUGAUCCCGCGGCGUAUUAGUUAGUUGGUGAGGUAAAGGCCCACCAAGACGAUAAUACGUAGCCAACCUGAGAGGGUAAUCGGCCACAUUGGGACUGAGACACGGCCCAAACUCCUACGGGAGGCAGCAGUAGGGAAUCUUCCACAAUGGACGAAAGUCUGAUGGAGCAAUGCCGCGUGAGUGAAGAAGGGUUUCGGCUCGUAAAACUCUGUUGUUAAAGAAGAACACCUUUGAGAGUAACUGUUCAAGGGUUGACGGUAUUUAACCAGAAAGCCACGGCUAACUACGUGCCAGCAGCCGCGGUAAUACGUAGGUGGCAAGCGUUGUCCGGAUUUAUUGGGCGUAAAGCGAGCGCAGGCGGUUUUUUAAGUCUGAUGUGAAAGCCUUCGGCUUAACCGGAGAAGUGCAUCGGAAACUGGGAGACUUGAGUGCAGAAGAGGACAGUGGAACUCCAUGUGUAGCGGUGGAAUGCGUAGAUAUAUG
Molecule: ribosomal RNA, 570 nt
Filed under: Levilactobacillus brevis
Lineage: Bacteria; Bacillati; Bacillota; Bacilli; Lactobacillales; Lactobacillaceae
Description: bacterial SSU rRNA
Rfam family: Bacterial small subunit ribosomal RNA
Source: RNAcentral